Molecule: ribosomal RNA, 334 nt
Filed under: uncultured soil bacterium
Lineage: Bacteria
Description: bacterial SSU rRNA
Rfam family: Bacterial small subunit ribosomal RNA
Source: RNAcentral
AGGACGAACGCUGGCGGCGGGCUUAACACAUGCAAGUCGAACGAAGCCUUCGGGCUUAGUGGCGCACGGGUGAGUAACACGUAGGCAACCUACCCUUAGCUGGGGAAUAACCAGGGGAAACCCUGGCUAAUACCGCAUAACGUCGUCGCGACCUCCUGGUCGUACGACCAAAGCUCUGGCGGCUGGGGAUGGGCCUGCGUCGGAUUAGCUAGUUGGUGGGGUAACGCCCACCAAGGCGACGAUCCGUAGCGGGUCUGAGAGGAUGAUCCGCCACACUGGCACUGAGACACGGGCCAGACUCCUACGGGAGCAGCAGUGAGGAAUAUUGCGCAAU